UGGGGAAUUUUGGACAAUGGGCGAAAGCCUGAUCCAGCAAUGCCGCGUGUGUGAAGAAGGCCUUCGGGUUGUAAAGCACUUUUGUCCGGAAAGAAAUCCUUGGCUCUAAUACAGUCGGGGGAUGACGGUACCGGAAGAAUAAGCACCGGCUAACUACGUGCCAGCAGCCGCGGUAAUACGUAGGGUGCAAGCGUUAAUCGGAAUUACUGGGCGUAAAGCGUGCGCAGGCGGUUUGCUAAGACCGAUGUGAAAUCCCCGGGCUCAACCUGGGAACUGCAUUGGUGACUGGCAGGCUAGAGUAUGGCAGAGGGGGGUAGAAUUCCACGUGUAGCAGUGAAAUGCGUAGAGAUGUGGAGGAAUACCGAUGGCGAAGGCAGCCCCCUGGGCCAAUACUGACGCUCAUGCACGAAAGCGUGGGGAGCAAACAGGAUUAGAUACCCUGGUAGUCCACGCCCUAAACGAUGUCAACUAGUUGUUGGGGAUUCAUUUCCUUAGUAACGUAGCUAACGCGUGAAGUUGAUCGCCUGGGGAGUACGGUCGCAAGAUUAAAACUCAAAGGAAUUGACGGGGUCAUAGCUGUUUCC
Molecule: ribosomal RNA, 584 nt
Filed under: uncultured bacterium
Lineage: Bacteria
Description: partial 16S ribosomal RNA
Rfam family: Bacterial small subunit ribosomal RNA
Source: RNAcentral